UUAGAUACCCUAGUACACUUAAAUUUAAUUAGAAACAUUAGAAUAUUAAAAGUUAUGUUCUUUAAAUUUAAAAAAUUUGGCGGUGUUUUAGUCUAGUUAGAGGAACCUGUUUUAUAAACGAUACAACACGCAUUAUUUUACUUAUUUUAGUAGAUCAGCUUGUAUACCGUCAUUAUAAGAUAAUUUAAGAGAGAAUAUUAUUGAGAUCGUAUUGUCGAGUAUAUUAGAUCAAGGUGCAGCUUAUGAGUAAGGAAAUAUGGGUUACAAUAAAAUUUAUUUAAUAUGAAUUAAGUGUUUAAAUAUAUUUAUGAAGGAGGAUUUAAUUGUAAGGAGGGAGCAGUGAGCUUUUCUGAUAGAAGCUCUAAAUUAUGUACAUAUCGCCCGUCGCU
RNAcentral lists this ribosomal RNA (389 nucleotides) under Lacunicambarus mobilensis. RNAcentral's name for it is "partial small subunit ribosomal RNA". The record is from RNAcentral. Lineage: Eukaryota; Metazoa; Arthropoda; Malacostraca; Decapoda; Cambaridae.